AGNAUGCCUAAUACAUGCAAGUCGAGCGAAUCUUUGGGAGCUUGCUCCCAUUGGUUAGCUGUGCGGACGGGUGAGUAACACGUGGGCAACCUGCCUGUAAGACUGGGAUAACUUCGGGAAACCGGAGCUAAUACCAGGAUAAUCCUUUUCCUCACAUGAGUGAAAAGCUGAAAGUCAGGUUUCGGCUGACACUUACAGAUGGGCCCGCGGCGCAUUAGCUAAGUUAGGUGAGGUAACGGCUACACCAAGGCGACGAUAGCGUAGCCGACCUGAGAGGGUGAUCGGCCACACUGGGACUGAGACACGGCCCAGACUACCUACGGGAGGCAGCAGAGGGAAU
This 340-nucleotide ribosomal RNA is filed under the name uncultured bacterium. Its description in RNAcentral is "bacterial SSU rRNA". It matches the Rfam family "Bacterial small subunit ribosomal RNA", at positions 42 to 362 of the family's 1533-position model. The record is from RNAcentral.